CCAGAUAGCUCAGUCGGUAGAGCAGGGGAUUGAAAAUCCCCGUGUCGGUGGUUCGAUUCCACCUCUGGCC
RNAcentral lists this transfer RNA (70 nucleotides) under marine eukaryotic metagenome. It matches the Rfam family "tRNA". From Rfam's summary of the family: Transfer RNA (tRNA) molecules are approximately 80 nucleotides in length. Their secondary structure includes four short double-helical elements and three loops (D, anti-codon, and T loops). Further hydrogen bonds mediate the characteristic L-shaped molecular structure. tRNAs have two regions of fundamental functional importance: the anti-codon, which is responsible for specific mRNA codon recognition, and the 3' end, to which the tRNAs corresponding amino acid is attached (by aminoacyl-tRNA synthetases). tRNAs cope with the degeneracy of the genetic code in two manners: having more than one tRNA (with a specific anti-codon) for a particular amino acid; and 'wobble' base-pairing, i.e. permitting non-standard base-pairing at the 3rd anti-codon position. The record is from RNAcentral.